UGGUAAGGUAACGGCUUACCAAGGCGACGAUCAGUAGCCGACCUGAGAGGGUGAUCGGCCACAUUGGAACUGAGACACGGUCCAAACUCCUACGGGAGGCAGCAGUGGGGAAUAUUGCACAAUGGGCGAAAGCCUGAUGCAGCAACGCCGCGUGAGUGAUGAAGGCCUUCGGGUCGUAAAACUCUGUCCUCAAGGAAGAUAAUGACGGUACUUGAGGAGGAAGCCCCGGCUAACUACGUGCCAGCAGCCGCGGUAAUACGUAGGGGGCUAGCGUUAUCCGGAUUUACUGGGCGUAAAGGGUGCGUAGGCGGUCUCUCAAGUCAGGAGUGAAAGGCUACGGCUCAACCGUAGUAAGCUCUUGAAACUGGGAGACUUGAGUACAGGAGAGGAGAGUGGAAUUCCUAGUGUAGCGGUGAAAUGCGUAGAUAUUAGGAGGAACACCAGUUGCGAAGGCGGCUCUCUGGACUGUAACUGACGCUGAGGCACGAAAGCGUGGGGAGCAAACAGGAUUAGAUACCCUGGUAGUCCACGCUGUAAAC
Molecule: ribosomal RNA, 539 nt
Filed under: uncultured bacterium
Lineage: Bacteria
Description: bacterial SSU rRNA
Rfam family: Bacterial small subunit ribosomal RNA
Source: RNAcentral